This 872-nucleotide ribosomal RNA is filed under the name Oropogon cf. colibor Nelson 4186A. RNAcentral describes it as "SSU rRNA". It matches the Rfam family "Bacterial small subunit ribosomal RNA", at positions 378 to 1153 of the family's 1533-position model. The record is from RNAcentral. Lineage: Eukaryota; Fungi; Ascomycota; Lecanoromycetes; Lecanorales; Parmeliaceae.
AACGGCUGAACCAGCAACUUGGAGGAAUGUAUAGCAUUAGCUACUUGCAUCAUUGCAAUGAUGAUGUAAGCUCGACUAUGUUGAAUAAAAUUCUAGGUAGAAUUAUGAUAAUGACAUUGUCUGCCUAUGUGUCUUGACCAAAUUACGUGCCAGCAGUCGCGGUAAUACGUAGAAGACUAGUGUUAUUCAUGUUUAAUCGGUUUAAAGGGUACCUAGACGGUAGAUCAAGCUUUCAAUUUCUUGAAUUAUAAAACAAAAUAAAACAAGAAGAGAAUUGACAGGAACUAAUUUACUAGAGUUACUUAUGAGGGGGUUUUAAAGUACUUAUGGUGUAGAGAUGAAAUUCUGUAAUACCAUUCUUAGAAUUAGGACAUAUGGCACAGGUAUAGGCGAAAGCAUCCCCUUAUGGGAUAACUGACGUUGAGGGACGAAGGCUUUUUGUAGCGAUCAGGAUUAGAGACCCUAGUAGUUGAAGCAGAAAAUGAUGAAUGUCAUAGAUUAGAUAUAUAAGUUUAUUCUAUAAAUGAAAGUGUAAGCAUUCCACCUCAAGAGUAAUUUGGCAACAUUGGAACUGAAAUCAUUAGACCGUUUCUGAAACCAGUAGUGAAGUAUGUUGUUUAAUUUGAUGAUCCGCAAAAAACCUUACCACAAUUUGAAUAUUUAUAUUUUAUUAUUGUUUUUUUAUUAUUUAUCUAUAUAAUCAUAUCACAAAUAUGAUUAAGAAAAUUAAUGAAGAGGCAAUAACAUAUAUUUACAAGCGUUGCACGGCUGUCUUCAGUUAAUGUCGCGAGACUCUGGUUAGUUCCAUUAAAUUAACGUAAACCCUUACUUUAUUUUUAUAUAAAGUAGUUCCCCGCUAUAUUGGAUCUGAU